UCUCCCUCUGGAAUUUUGGGAAUACGGAUUUUAGCGGGAAAAUCUGAUAGGGGUUGGGGUUUUUGGGGAUUUUCUGGGUUUUUUUCUGGGGUUUCUUGUUUUUUUCCUGGGAUUUCCUGUUUUUUCCUGGGAUUUCCUGGUUUUUCUUGGGGUUUUCCUGAGAUUUCCUGGGAUUUUUUUGUUUUUUCUUGGGAUUUUCUGGUUUUUUUCUGGGAUUUCCUGGGAAUUCUUGGUUUUUUCCUGAUAUUUCCUGGGAUUUCCUGGUUUUUACUGAGAUUUCCUUGGUUUUUCAUGGAUUUUCGUUUUUUCCUGGGAUUUCCUGGGAAUUCUUGGUUUUUUCUUGGGAUUUUCUGGGUUUUUUCUGGGUUUUCCUGGGGUUUUCCUGGGAUUUCCUGGGAAUUCUUGGGUUUUUCCUGAUAUUUCCUGGGAUUUCCUGGGAUUUUCCUGGGAUUUCUUAGAAUUUUCUGGGUUUCUUCUGGGAUUUCCUGGGUUUUCCAGGCAUUUCCUGGGUUUUCCUGGAGUUUCCUGGGAUUUCCUGGGGUUUCCUGGCUUUUUCCUGGGAUUUCUUGGCUUUUUCUUGGGGUUUCCUGGGAUUUCCUGGGAAUUUCUGGGUUUUCCUGGUUUUUUUCUGGGAUUUUCUGGGAUUUUUCCUCGGAUUUCCUGGGAUUUCCUGGCUUUUUCCUGGGAUUUUUCUGGCUUUUCCCGGGGAUUUCCUGGGUUUUCCUGGGGUUUUGAGGGGUGGGAAGAUCCCAAAUUGGCCGGGAUGGUUUUCCGUGGGAUAAGGGAUCAGUCGGGAUGGGAAAUUCCCAGUUUGGGGAUGGAAUUCCCGUUUUAAAGACCAGAAAUUCCCAGUUUAGGGAUAGAAAAUUCCCACUUUAGACAUUUAAAAUUCCCAGUUCGGGGCUGGAAUUCCCGGUUUUUGGAGGGAAUUCCCAGUUUGGGGUUGGGAAUUCCCAGUUUUUGGAGGGAAUUCCCAGUUUGGGGUUGGGAAUUCCCAGUUUGGGGCUGGAAUUCCCAGUUUUUGGAGGGAAUUCCCAGUUUGGGGAGGGAAUUCCCAGUUUGGGGUUGGGAAUUCCCAGUUUUUGGAGGGAAUUCCCAGUCUGGGGUUGGAAAUUCCCAGUUUUUGGAGGGAAUUCCCAAUUUGGGGUUCGGAAUUCCCAGUUUUUGGAGGGAAUUCCCAGUUUGGGGGUGGGUUGGGAAUUCCCAGUUUGGGGUUGGGAAUUCCCAGUUUUUGGAGGGAAUUCCCAGUUCGGGGGGUGUUGGGAAUUCCCGGUUUCUGCAGUGAAUUCCCGGGAUUCCUUUUCCAGAGGAAUUUUUCCCGGCCGCCUCCCCCUGGAUCCCGGCCCUGGCGCUGCUCCUCACCCUGGCGCUGUUCCUGCUGCUGGCGGCCGCGCUCCGACUGCGCUGGAACAGCCGGAUCCUGGCUCGGGAGCGUGAGUGCAAUUCUUUCAUUCAUUAAUUAAUUCAUUAAUUGAAGAAGUGCCGGUCAUUAAUUAAGAUCCCCAAUUAAGGCUUCAGCCGGGAUUUGGGGAGGUUUGAGGAGGGAUUUUGGCCGGAAUUGGAAUUAUUAAUUGAUAUGAAUUUUAUUAUUUAUAAAAUUAAUAUUUAUUUAUGGAUGAAAUAUUAUUCGAUAUAUCUUGAAUUAAAUAUGGAUAUG
Cyanistes caeruleus (blue tit) is the source of this 1657-nucleotide long non-coding RNA. NCBI's taxonomy places the organism in Eukaryota, Metazoa, Chordata, Aves, Passeriformes, Paridae. The record is from Ensembl.